GACGAACGCUGGCGGCGUGCUUAACACAUGCAAGUCGAACGGUGAACCAGAGCUUGCUCUGGGGAUCAGUGGCGAACGGGUGAGUAACACGUGGGCAACCUGCCCAGACUCUGGGAUAACCUCGGGAAACCGAUGCUAAUACCGGAUACGACCACUUCGGACAUCCGACGGUGGUGGAAAGUUUUUCGGUCUGGGAUGGGCCCGCGGCCUAUCAGCUAGUUGGUGGGGUAAUGGCCUACCAAGGCGACGACGGGUAGCCGGCCUGAGAGGGCGACCGGCCACACUGGAACUGAGACACGGUCCAGACUCCUACGGGAGGCAGCAGUGAGGAAUAUUGCACAAUGGGCGAAAGCCUGAUGCAGCGACGCCGCGUGAGGGACGACGGCCUUCGGGUUGUAAACCGUCUUUCUAGCAGGGACGAAGCGAAAGUAGACUGUACCUGCAGAAGAAGACACCGGCUAACUAACGUGCCAGCAGCCGCGGUAAU
RNAcentral lists this ribosomal RNA (487 nucleotides) under uncultured bacterium. RNAcentral's name for it is "bacterial SSU rRNA". It matches the Rfam family "Bacterial small subunit ribosomal RNA", at positions 28 to 524 of the family's 1533-position model. The record is from RNAcentral.